CAUAAUAGACUCUGGGGCCAAUACAAGCACGCCAACGCUUAAUCCAAUUUUCCAUACACUUGUUAUAAGCCUCGACUGGAAUGGUCAUCACUGCCUUUAGCGAAUUUUAUUUUUUUCGUUUUUAUUUUUUGCCAUUCGCUAGACAAUUUCGUCGUAAUAUUCCUAAACCCACGUCUCGUCAUUAGUAAUGAUGCGUUUGAUGAAUGUAGGAUCCUCAGUCCAGUAUUAAGACGAUUCAUUAGUGAUUUUGAGAUCCUUUGCUCUCCCUCUGAGGUCAACAUGAUGUUUUUAAUCACACUCUUUCGACGUUAUCCUCAUUAACAGAAAUUGAUGGUUGCAAUCUCAGUUUCUAUAGUAAGUUCUGUUUUUUAUUAUGCUUCGAAUUUUUGCUCACACUCUUUAAUUGCUUAUGCCUUAAGAUAUGAAUCGAAUUGAAACCAGUCACCUUCAGCUUCCGUUCAAAUCAGCAAUUAAUUCCAGUUAUAUAUGCGGUUACCCUCCAACACAAUUAAUGCAAUGUGUCAAUCAUAUUCAGUAACAUACUUGUACAUAAAUAAAUACAAAUUUCAUGGUUAUAAUUGCAAUCAGAACUUAAUUUAUUUUCGACAAAUAAGCAAUUUAUCUAGCCAAACCACUUGCACGCCUAGUCACAAAUACAAGUAUAUAUAAUAUUAUCAUUGAGGUAUCACGACAUGCUUGCAUUUUAUCCUAGUAAUUCCAUUCCAUCAAAACAAGCGGCAAAUGUCAACGAGAACUAUGUAAAUCAAUUCAUACAAGUGUAGGCGAAGUGAAGCCCUUUUGAUGUAAUACCAUAGCGUAACCAAAUAAUGAAAGGCAUGCAUAAUUCAAUGGCAACACUCAUGCUAAAAAUAUAUAAAUACGAAUACACAUAUUUCAAGUAAUGCCUGCAGGGUAAUAUAGUGGUAAGGACUUUAAGUACACAGUAUCUCUUUUACUCUUAUUUCAGAUGAAUGUAUUUUUGUGGUGAUUCGCAAUGAAAAUAGAGCUUGAUCUUUCGAAGGCGUAUACCUGAGUUUUUAUAUUCGAAAAUCUUAUAAUAUAGUAUAAAUUUAGAUUUUGAAAUGCAAUAGACUUCUGAAACGCAUUCCAUGCCAAAGUAGUGAACUUUUCUUGAGACUUGGGUUAAGUUAGGGUUUAAAGCUUAAUCCUGAGAUAGCGAUCGCAAUUAAAUAGUUAAAGACAAAUCCUCUAAAAAAUCAAAAUAACACCUAAAGAGUUACCUUCUCAAAAAUGAAAACUCGCAAAACAGAAAUCAGAUUUGCAUUGAAAUCGGUGUUAGUUUUUAAUUUUUUUCGAUAUCGUGCGAAUAUUUUGAUAUUAAUUAAAUUAAUUUCUUUACCGAAAUAUGGUCAGAAAGCGGCUCCGGCCAAACAUAUUUUUAUUAACAGAUAGCUAAAGAACUAGUUAACCGAACGCUAGCUAAAAAUAAUCUGAUAUGAUGUUAUCUCCGUUAAACGAUCGACAAGCGCAGCCACUAGUCUGAGAUUAACGAAAUCGCAACGCUCAUAUAAGUGCCUACGAACGCUCUGAAUCUAGAUCUAAAUACAAAACAUACCGAGCUCUAGAAGCUAACAAAGGAAGAGUUCGGUAGAAUAAUGGAUCCAUAUUUAUCUAUAAACCCAGAUUUUGCACCAUUAAAGUUCAAGUAGCUUGAAGGACACGUUACUUGAAAUAUAUUUGAAUAAAAUUAGACUUGUGGUUUUUAUAGAAUUAA
Molecule: non-coding RNA, 1735 nt
Organism: Bactrocera oleae (olive fruit fly)
Lineage: Eukaryota; Metazoa; Arthropoda; Insecta; Diptera; Tephritidae
Source: RefSeq, a predicted model, not a curated record